RNAcentral lists this ribosomal RNA (612 nucleotides) under Tremella indecorata. Its description in RNAcentral is "eukaryotic LSU rRNA". It matches the Rfam family "Eukaryotic large subunit ribosomal RNA", at positions 47 to 647 of the family's 3401-position model. Lineage: Eukaryota; Fungi; Basidiomycota; Tremellomycetes; Tremellales; Tremellaceae. The record is from RNAcentral.
UAAGCGGAGGAAAAGAAACUAACAAGGAUUCCCCUAGUAACGGCGAGUGAACAGGGAAGAGCUCAAAUUUGAAAUCUGGCGUGCUCAGUGCGUCCGAGUUGUAAUCUAUAGAGUCGUUUUCCGUGCCGGACCGUGUCCAAGUUCCUUGGAACAGGAUAUCAAAGAGGGUGACAAUCCCGUACUUGACACGACCACCGGUGCUCUGUGAUACGUCUUCUACGAGUCGAGUUGUUUGGGAAUGCAGCUCAAAAUGGGUGGUGAGUUCCAUCUAAAGCUAAAUAUUGGCGAGAGACCGAUAGCGAACAAGUACCGUGAGGGAAAGAUGAAAAGCACUUUGGAAAGAGAGUUAAACAGUACGUGAAAUUGUUGAAAGGGAAACGAUUGAAGUCAGUCGUGUCCGAGAGGCUCAGCCGGUUCUGCCGGUGUAUUCCUCUCGGAUGGGUCAACAUCAGUUUUGUCCGGUGGAUAAGGGCGGCAGGAAUGUAUCACCCCAGGGUGUGUUAUAGCCUGCCGUCGCAUACAUCGGGUGAGACUGAGGAAUGCAGCUCGCCUUUAUUGGCCGGGGUUCGCCCACGUCCGAGCUUAGGAUGUUGACGUAAUGGCUUUAACCGA